Molecule: long non-coding RNA, 1572 nt
Organism: Neofelis nebulosa (Clouded leopard)
Lineage: Eukaryota; Metazoa; Chordata; Mammalia; Carnivora; Felidae
Exons: 2
Source: RefSeq, a predicted model, not a curated record
GAGUCACCGCGUGUGGCUUGGCUGACAAAGACGAUGGAAUCUGAAGCAGAUGCACUGAGCAAUUGUGUGCGUGUGUGUUUGUCUCCUGGUCCCUGAGAAUCUGCCUUCCCUCCCGAAAGCUGACGACAGACAUUCUUAACCUCCAAAGCCAAGUCAGAAGAAAAUCAGCGAGUACUCUGCAGUGGUCUAGGACUGAAAUGAUCAAAUUCCAGUAAGUCUUUUAUCGUAAAAAUCCGUGAGACUUUCACAGUCUCUUCACACGCGUAAAAUUUCCCUCCAAAGGGCCCAGUGGAACUGACUCCUGGGGGGCAGGCACUCAGCCCUGUGGGUGGUCCCGGAGGGAGGUGCAUCCGGGAGGCCAGGAGCCCAGCACUGUGACCAAACCGGAGACGACUUCUCCAGAACAGUCCCGGGCCCCAUUUCCUGCCCUGCUUCUCAGCACCUUCUAGAGGUGGAUGGACACAUAGGCUCAAGGUCAUCGGCGCGGCCACAGAGAGGUUUCAAGGCCAGGCUGCUCUGGGGCGAGCUUUGCCUCCAGCUGUUAGAUUCUCACCCGCCCUCUCGUUUGUCCACGUGCUAAUUGAGGUUAAGAGUCUGAGGCUGUCACUGUCCCCCUGGGGAGUUUUGGGGUGAGCACUAGAGAUCAGCUCUGCUGACGACAUUGGAAAGAGAGGAACUCAGAAACCAAGUGCGUCCAGGAAGGUAUGAGGGUAAGCUUCCUCAAGGUCUUUGCAGAGCAUCGCAGGGAUAUCAAUAAAUAGUAAAAAACAAAUCCUCAUAAUGCGAAAUGGUGCAGCCACCUUGGAAAACAGUCUAGCAAUUCCUCAAAAAGCCCACAGCUGGGCUCAUACCCAAGGGAAGUGGAAACGCGUCUCACCAAAAAACUUGCCACGGCUUUUCACGGCAGCGUCACCACCACAACGGUCAAAAAGUGGGAACCACCCAAAUAUCCACGGACCGAUGAAUGGAUAAAUAAAAUGUAACGCAUCCGUAUAAUGGACUCUGAGUUGACAGUAAAGGGGAAGGACAUACUUAUGCUACAUGAUGAACCUUGAGAACACUGCAGAGUCAAAGAAGCCAGACACAAAGUGCCACUGCGUGUGUGGUUCCAUUCACAAACAAAUGAGCGGAGGGGCUCAGUCGGUUAAGCGUCUGACUUCGGCUCGGGUCAUGAUCUUACAUUUUGUGGGACUGAGCCCUGAGUAGGGGUCUGCCCCGACAGCUUGGAGCCCGCUUGGGAUUCCCUCUCCCCUCCCCUCUCUCUGCCCCUCCACGUGUGUGUGUCUCUCUCUCUCAAAAUAAAUAAGCACUAAAUAACAAAGAAAGAAAGCAAUGAGCAGAAGAGAGACAGGAGGCAAAAUCGGGACUGCCAGGGCCUGGGGAGUGGGGAAUGGGGGGUGGCCACUAAUGGGUAUGAGGUUUCUUCGGUGAUGAAAAUGUUCUGGGACUGGAUAGUGGUAAUGGCUGCACAAUCUUGUGAGGAUACUAAAAACUACCGAGUUGUACACUUUCACAUGGUGAAUUUAGGAGACAUAAAACCACAUCUCAAUUAAAAAUACAGUUUUCCAUGCA